GCGAUACCUGCCAGAUAUCAUGUGUUUCCUACUAGGCAUCAGGAGCCGGUCACCGAGACGUUGUCACUGCUAGCCUUGUCCUCCACAUCGAGCCCGUCCUCCACUGUCUAAGCCCCAUGCUGGGGCUCGAUGCCGGCGACCGCGUCCUCUGUUGUCACGCCCCACGCCAGGGCUGGUCGCCGGUGGCUGCGUCUUCCCACGCCCCACGCCGAGGCUCGUUAGUCCCAUGCCGGAACUCAUCACCCGUGGUGCUGCAUAUCUUCUCCGGUGAUGUGCUCCCCGACGAAGCAGUGAGGCGAGGCAGCGGGGGCCUUCUCCAGUGAGCUCCCUUCUCUCCCUUCUUCCUCCGCUGCCGCAUGCCCGAUGCCAGUGCUGCUCCGUUGCCGCAUGCCUGCGCUGCUCCGUUGCCGCAUGCCUACGCUUGUGCUCUAGGGAAUGAGGGAGACGAUACCGUCGCGGGUGCUAGGCGCGGGAUACCAGUAUCUAGCUUUUCCAAAUUGCUAAUCUGAAAAUACUAUAGAACAG
RNAcentral lists this small RNA (525 nucleotides) under Oryza sativa Japonica Group (Japanese rice). Its description in RNAcentral is "sRNA Os12g0113550". The record is from RNAcentral. Lineage: Eukaryota; Viridiplantae; Streptophyta; Magnoliopsida; Poales; Poaceae.